Molecule: transfer RNA, 75 nt
Filed under: Desulforhabdus sp. TSK
Lineage: Bacteria; Pseudomonadati; Thermodesulfobacteriota; Syntrophobacteria; Syntrophobacterales; Syntrophobacteraceae
Description: tRNA-Thr
Rfam family: tRNA
About the family: Transfer RNA (tRNA) molecules are approximately 80 nucleotides in length. Their secondary structure includes four short double-helical elements and three loops (D, anti-codon, and T loops). Further hydrogen bonds mediate the characteristic L-shaped molecular structure. tRNAs have two regions of fundamental functional importance: the anti-codon, which is responsible for specific mRNA codon recognition, and the 3' end, to which the tRNAs corresponding amino acid is attached (by aminoacyl-tRNA synthetases). tRNAs cope with the degeneracy of the genetic code in two manners: having more than one tRNA (with a specific anti-codon) for a particular amino acid; and 'wobble' base-pairing, i.e. permitting non-standard base-pairing at the 3rd anti-codon position.
Source: RNAcentral
GCCGGCGUAGCUCAGUGGUAGAGCAGCUGAUUCGUAAUCAGCAGGCCAUGGGUUCAAAUCCCUUCGCCGGCUCCA